CUCCUGAACACAGGUGAUCCACCACCUUGGUCUCCCACAGUGCUGUGAUUACAGACAUGAGCCAUCAUGCCCAGGCCAUCCAUCCAUUUUUUUACUGAGAUUCUAUGGCAUGUCAAAUCUUGUGUUGAGUAUUUUGUGUGUGCGCUCUCUCUCUCUGCCCUUCCUUUUCUUAGGGGAAGGAGUAGGAGCAGAUAAAGCAAAUGGUGUGAAAUACUAUAAAAUAGGAACAAAGAAAAUGCUUUGGAGAUUUGGAGGAGAAAGUGGCUUCUGGAUGAGGUUAUGGUUGCCUUCCUGUCAGGGGAGACAUUUGGUUUGGGCCUUGAUAAAACAGCAGUAUUUGGAUAUACCCGAGUACAUUGGAAGUCAUUCCAAGUAGAAGAAGCAAAACAUCAAAGACAAGGUGCCUAGAGAGCAGCAUUCAUAUCUUAUGCUUUAUAUCCCUCCUAAAGUGCCUAGUAGAGAACUGGGCACACUUCAGCAACCUAAUACAUACUUGCUGAUUCAUAUUCUCUCUCUCUCUCUCUCCUUCUCUGACAGGGGCACUCCCAACACUUAAUUAAGCCUCGAUCUUCAGGCAAGAAAGUCUGUGAUAUGAAUGAAGGGGGUACAGAGGCCCAACAACAAUCAUCGAAUGAGCCUGGAAGUGGAUCCUUUCACUCCAGUCAAGCCUUCUGAUGACUGCAGCCCUGGCUGAUGCUUGACUACAGCUUCAUUAGAAAUCCUCAUGAAGAUCCAGCACCUUCCAGUUAGCCCAUCUGUGGGUUCUUGACCCUCAGAAAUUCUAUGAGAUAAUAAAUAUUUGUUAUUUUAA
Molecule: non-coding RNA, 811 nt
Organism: Chlorocebus sabaeus (green monkey)
Lineage: Eukaryota; Metazoa; Chordata; Mammalia; Primates; Cercopithecidae
Source: RefSeq, a predicted model, not a curated record